This 72-nucleotide transfer RNA is filed under the name Phoxocampus belcheri. RNAcentral's name for it is "tRNA-Thr". It matches the Rfam family "tRNA". Rfam says of the family: Transfer RNA (tRNA) molecules are approximately 80 nucleotides in length. Their secondary structure includes four short double-helical elements and three loops (D, anti-codon, and T loops). Lineage: Eukaryota; Metazoa; Chordata; Actinopteri; Syngnathiformes; Syngnathidae. The record is from RNAcentral.
GCACUUGUAGCUCAACUUUAGAGCAUCGGUCUUGUAAACCGAAGGCUGGAGGUUAAAUUCCCCCCUUUUGCU